UCCUACGGGUGGCUGCAGUGGGGAAUAUUGGGCAAUGGGCGAAAGCCUGACCCAGCCACGCCGCGUGAGUGAUGAAGGCCUUCGGGUUGUAAAGCUCUGUGGGAAGGGGCGAAAAACUCAGACCUAAUACGUCUGAGGUUGACGGUACCUUCUUAGCAAGCACCGGCUAACUCUGUGCCAGCAGCCGCGGUAAGACAGAGGGUGCAAACGUUGCUCGGAUUUACUGGGCGUAAAGCGCGUGUAGGCGGGCGAAUAAGUCGGGUGUGAAAUCCCUGGGCUCAACCUAGGAACUGCAUCCGAAACUGUUCACCUGGAGUGAUGGAGAGGAAGGCGGAAUUCCCGGUGUAGAGGUGAAAUUCGUAGAUAUCGGGAGGAACACCAGUGGCGAAGGCGGCCUUCUGGACAUUUACUGACGCUGAGACGCGAAAGCGUGGGGAGCAAACAGGAUUAGAUACCCCGGUAGUCC
RNAcentral lists this ribosomal RNA (466 nucleotides) under uncultured Myxococcales bacterium. Its description in RNAcentral is "bacterial SSU rRNA". It matches the Rfam family "Bacterial small subunit ribosomal RNA", at positions 337 to 796 of the family's 1533-position model. The record is from RNAcentral. Lineage: Bacteria; Pseudomonadati; Myxococcota; Myxococcia; Myxococcales.